CCCUUAGAUGUUCUGGGCCGCACGCGCGCUACACUGAUGCAUUCAACAAGCCUAGCCUUGACCGAGAGGUCCGGGUAAUCUUUGAAACUGCAUCGUGAUGGGGCUAGAUUAUUGCAAUUGUUAAUCUUCAACGAGGAAUGCCUAGUAAGCGUGAUUCAUCAAAUCGCGUUGAUUACGUCCCUGCCCUUUGUACACACCGCCCGUCGCUCCUACCGAUUGAAUGUGUUGGUGAGGAGCUCGGAUUGGCAGCAGUUGGUGGUUCGCCACCGGCUAUUGCUGAGAAGUCCUCCAAACCGCCCCAUUUAGAGGAAGGAGAAGUCGUAACA
RNAcentral lists this ribosomal RNA (326 nucleotides) under uncultured eukaryote. RNAcentral describes it as "partial 18S ribosomal RNA". It matches the Rfam family "Eukaryotic small subunit ribosomal RNA", at positions 1470 to 1796 of the family's 1831-position model. The record is from RNAcentral.